RNAcentral lists this unclassified non-coding RNA (245 nucleotides) under uncultured fungus. RNAcentral's name for it is "sequence contains ITS1, 5.8S rRNA gene". The stretch from base 197 to 245 matches the Rfam family "5.8S ribosomal RNA", at positions 1 to 49 of the family's 154-position model. Lineage: Eukaryota; Fungi. The record is from RNAcentral.
UCUCCGUUGGUGAACCAGCGGAGGGAUCAUUGCCGAGUCUCGGACUCCCAAACCAUCGUGAACCUACCAUUCGUUGCCUCGGCGGGCGGCUCCAGGGCGGAGCCUCCGGCCCCCUCGGGGGUGCCCGCCGCAGGCCCAACCAACCAGUGUCGUAUCUAGGCCCCUCUGAGCAACUGCGAGAGCAGAAACAAGUCAAAACUUUCAACAAUGGAUCUCUUGGCUCUGGCAUCGAUGAAGAACGCAGC